RNAcentral lists this unclassified non-coding RNA (155 nucleotides) under soil metagenome. RNAcentral's name for it is "partial internal transcribed spacer 1". The record is from RNAcentral.
CCGUGGGGGCCUCGCGGCCCCUACCGAGAUAGCACCCUUUGUCUUUUUAAAGCACCCACUGUUUCUCCUCGGCGGGUGACGCCCGCCAACGGGGACCAACCAAAACCUUAACCCGUAGUAUUAGAAGUAAAACCGUACCAAAAAACAAAAAAUCA